AUUUGUUUUCAUACGAAAAAUCGAUUAUAUAGUUCUUCUUAAAACAUUAAAAAAUUUAGUAAUGGAGAAAGAAAAUUAAUUAAUUUAUCAUUAGUGAAAAGUACUGUAAAGGAAAAAUAAAACCAUAAAAAUAGCAGCUAUUAAAGCGUACUUUUUGCAUCACGGCUUAGCAAGAGUUAAUUGAAGAUCUCAAUUUCUCGAAAGUUGGUGAGCUAUCUUUCUUCUGGGAUUUUAUAGGCCCUAAAGUAGAAUUAAUUAGCUAAAAAUGUGGCAUAAUUUUAGUAAAAGAAAAAGAUAGAAAUGAGAUGUUAUCCGCACCAGCGAUAGCUAGUUUCUUCAGAAGUACAUAGCAGUGUGCUGGUAAACUUUUAAGUUUGGAAAGUUCUAAUUCCUAACUGAAUUUUAUCUAAAAGACUUUUUAGGAUAAGCUAGAAAGUUAAAAGAGAAACUGCAUUGACUAAGAAUAAAGUGAUGUAAGCUUGAAAUUAGCUACCAUUACGAGUUUGUUAUAAAACAACUUAACUAUCUUAGAAGAUUUUUAUGCUUACGCGUUUCUUUGAGUAUGAAGACAUAGGGAGGAAUUGAUUUCCCUAAAGCCUAUGCUAAGAUGAGUAUUAAAUUAUCGGAAUAGUUAAGAAGAGUAUUUUUAUCUUCUUAUUUAUUAAAGUUUUUUAUACUAAAUAGGGAAAAGGAACUCGGCAAGAUUGGCUGUUUCGCCUGUUUAUCAAAAACAUCGCUCUUUGUUAUCUAAAAAAUAAAGAGUCGGACCUGCCCAGUGAAAAUUUUAACGGCCGCGGUACUCUGACCGUGCAAAGGUAGCAUAAUCAUUUGCCUUAUAAUUAAAGGCUUGUAUGAAUGGUUUGACGAAAUCAGCACUGUCUCUUCUCUAUUUUAUAGAAUUUGACCUGGGGGUGAAGAGGCCCUUAUUGAACUGAAGGACAAGAAGACCCUGUCGAGCUUUAAAAAUAACUAGAAAAUCAGUAUAAAAACUAAAUAAAUUACUAGGUAUUUUUUUGGUUGGGGCGACUAAGGAACAAAAAAAGCUUCCUCUAUUUCCGUAAACUCCGCAAGUUAAAGAUCCAGCUAUGCUGAUCAAAGGAAUUAGUUACCGCAGGGAUAACAGCAUAAUCUCCUUUGAGAGACCGAAUCGAAAAGGGGGGUUGUGACCUCGAUGUUGGACUAGGGUAUCCUGAAGGUGCAGAAGCCUUUAAGGGUUGGUCUGUUCGACCAUUAAAAUCCUACGUGAUCUGAGUUC
This 1255-nucleotide ribosomal RNA is filed under the name Planaxis sulcatus. Its description in RNAcentral is "partial 16S ribosomal RNA". It matches the Rfam family "Bacterial large subunit ribosomal RNA", at positions 440 to 2612 of the family's 2925-position model. The record is from RNAcentral. Lineage: Eukaryota; Metazoa; Mollusca; Gastropoda; Planaxidae.